Octopus bimaculoides (California two-spot octopus) is the source of this 1155-nucleotide long non-coding RNA. RefSeq lists it as uncharacterized. NCBI's taxonomy places the organism in Eukaryota, Metazoa, Mollusca, Cephalopoda, Octopoda, Octopodidae. The record is from RefSeq and is a predicted model, not a curated record.
UGCUAUUGAUUAUUCAAAAGGAUGUAAUAUUUGAUAGAAUGUCAUCAAUGGGGAAAAAGUUUAAUGUAUUAUUCAUGUACUGUUUCUGUGUUCAGAAGGUGCUAAAUAUUAGAAUAUUAAUAAUCUACAGUUGUUCAUAUUUUGGUGCUGUCUCAAAAGUCCGAAUACAAUAGUAUGCUUUGUGUACUUUUUUACUGUCAUGCUAAGAUAGCUUGGAAGUAGAAGGUUGUCAAUGAACAAACAGAGUGAGUGAAUGACAGGAGGAAAAAAAUGAAUUUGAGUUAAAAGAUUAACUGUUUCUUUGUCACACUUUACCAGAGAUACAAACAUAAAACUGAAUAAGUGAACUGAAAUGAAAGUAAGAUUUGUAAAAAAAAAAAGAGUGCUUGGUAUUUUCAAUGACAGAAAAUACAUCUGUAGAGUAAUUCAUAUAUAGUGACAAACAUGACCACACAUGCGCAUGCGCACACACACACACACACACACACACACUUCCUUCUGAAAAACAUUCCUUUACAAAACUAUUGUCAUUUUGAAUAACAUGGAUAAACUAAUAUAUGAUACUUGGGCAUGGACUGUGAGGUGUGACCUGCAAGAGGUUUGGCUGCCAUUUCUAGCAAGUCAAACAACCAAGUAGAUAAAUAUUCUUUCAUUGAAAAAAUCCUCAGCCUCAAAGAAUGGUCAAGAGUUGAAAGAGGCGGAAGGAAUUCAGAGUAGUGUUAAUUCUGUAGACAGCAAAAAGGCUUCUCUCUCCAGGCAAAAAAACAAACUGUGUGAAGGAUGAAGUAAGAUGCAGCAGGGUGUUGAAAAUUAUAUACUUAAUGUAGAUCUGAAGAGGUAAGAUAAAAAUGAGGUGCAUAUCAUUUGAUGACAGGAAUAGCAAGGUACAACAAGUAAGCUGAGAAAGUGAUUUGGCAUGAACAGAAUCAGCUUAUGUGUGAAGAAAAGACAGAUCUAUUAGUAUUGACAUAUAAUGCAACUGGUCAACACCUACUGGGUGAAAAGGUGAUGGAUGCUAAUAAUGGCAUCAAGAGCAGAGCCAGGCAGGUGAAAUGGUGUAAUUAUAGCUGAGUCUCACAAUUACAUGACAAAUAAUCAAGAGGUGUGAUAUGCCAUAGUCUAUGCCACCAUGGGAAAAACAAUCAGCAAAAUAAA